CUCUGCCCUCGCGAGACAGCCAGUGAUGUGAUCGUCAGCGUGUGUUUGCGCGCAGCCCACAGAUCCAGUCUUUUUUCCUGCGAUACAAUAUACGCGUGCGCGCGCACCCGCUGUCCCACACGGUCAUGAUGUACGGAACGCGCGACGUGCACACGUUACAAUAUCGCCCGGCAAAAAGAAAAAAUAGACGGGCGCGGUGCGGAGGAAAAUUCCCGCACCGCGACCGACGGUAAUGCAGUUCAACGGACUGUGCCGCGGUCGACCCGGCGCCGAGUGUACAAAACUACGAAAAACCGCUCGACCGGUAUUAUGAUGCAUUUCUAUCAUCGACGGGCGCGCUUCGGAUGUAUUACGUGUGGUAGUCUGUAGGUAGGUACCACUGACACUGCGCGUGUACGCUUCUACAAUAAUAUUGUGGUGAUAUCGUUCCACGCCUGCGACGGUCUCGAGUCGUCGUGGGAUACCUAUAAUUUGGCCAUUGAUCAAAUAAUAAUACACAAGUCCUCGUUUAAUUCCAUUCCAUAAUAUACGUUAUACACGUUUGUGUGCACCAAUACCUAUUGUUCAUUUUUUGUUAUGGCGUCGCAUCUGGUACUCGGGUUGGACAAUCGUUUUUACUAAUACUUAACGUUGCACCCGAUAACAGGAUUCGCGUGAAUGCAAUUCGUACACAAUGAUAAUAUAAAAAGUUGACUGCAUACUGAUAUAUUAUACUCGUAUUAAUACGUAGUUAUUAAAUAAACAGAAAACGAUGAUGGUGUACAUAGGAUACCAAACAAUAGAAACUCAAGGACAUAUUAAAUUUACGUCACUUUUAUAGUAACAAUGCUAACAAUACAUUUUCUUCUUCAAAUUCUACUAUCGGAAAUUUGAUUGCGAUUUAUACAAUAAUAAUAAACAGGACAAACUGCACCUAUAUGGCUAUAGGCUAUUAUAUAUAUAUAUAUAGUUACUGAUUAUAGGUAGCUAUUAAUUAUAGUGAAGUACAGAAAUAACAGGAAGGGGAGAUUUUGAACAUUUAUAAAAGGCACACUCCUAUUUAUGAUUAAGACGAGCUCAAUGAUGAGUGAUCACUCCCAUUUCCCGCCCUGGAUCCAUCAUUGCCUAUAGAAAAUUGUUAAGAAUGAAUUAUCUAUAAUAAAUAAUAUUUAUUAUAAUUGUGGAUAUACUAAGUGUCAUAAAAACCGGGGGUACAAACAAGGUAUAACCUAAUAGAAAAUAGUAAUUUUUUAAGGAACUAUUAGUAUGCGGGCUACAUACAAUUGAUUUGCACCACAAAAAGGUACCUACUAACAUUAACAUUAUUUUUUAUCACUCUAAUUUUUGAGAUACCAUCUACAUUUGAUUUUCAAAUGGCAAUCUAUAUUAAAAAUUCCAUAAAUAUAUGGAGUAUUAGUUAAAAUAAUACAUUUUGGUGCUAAAAUGUUUGAUUUCUGUUAAUUAUCUGUCUUGGUGUUUAUUUAUUUAUUUUUAUUAUCAUAUAUUUUAUCAAUAGUAUAUAUCAAUGAUUACCUUUCAAUCUCUAAAAGGAUUUUAGAUUCUGAUUUGAAUGUACUGGUUUUAUUAAGUUUUUCAUUUUUUAUUUAUCUUUGAAUAACUAAAAAAAUUCUAUCAGAGUGUAGUAAGAUCCACUAUUGUAUGGUAGAUGUCAAUAUAGAAUGGAGAAUGAGAAUGCUUAGUUGAACGAGUGGAAUGAAGAGAGAAGAUAGUACAGAGUAGAUGUGAAUAGCAUAGGCGUGGCUUUGAUAACAGAUAAAAUAAAAUAUGACAGAUUUGGGCAUACCAUGAUAAGAAAAGAAAGACCGCAAAAAGGAUUAAUUGAAUGCGCUUAUGAUAUGAUGACAGUGGAUGCAUGCAUGACUGAUAAUGGGUGUACCACUGUUGUAGGUAAAAAGUAGGAUACAUAAUGUUAUUUCAUAUAAAUCUGUAAAAAAUAAUAAACCAUUGCUAAUGAAUAAUGAUUCAGAACAAUAUUUGGGUAAACAUAUUUAGAAAUACUGUUAAUUUUACAAUUUGGAAAAGGCAAAUUAUGCUAGACUUUCUAUUUUUUACCAUUAAAUGUAACUUAUGGUGUUGAAUUUUCUAACAUUUUGGUUAUGCCAAAAAAUUAAAAUCACAUAAAUUGAAAAAUAAUACAGGAAAUGCCGCAAUAUUUUAGAUUAUGAGCAUAUUUAUUUCUGUCUGAGAAACAACUCAGGUAAUAGGUAUGGAUAAUAUAGUUUACACUAAAAAUUAUUAUUAAUUUAACAUUAUAACUUUAUACUUGUACUUAAUGAUAAAAACAAAAAUAGUUGAGCGCAAUGUAGAAGUUUUUUUUUACAUAAGCGUUUCAAAUCUUAAAUUUUCAAUCUUAAAAAUUACAGCAUUUCAAGAUGUGUAAAGUUAAACUUCACUCAGAAUCACUUUUCAUUACUUACAGAUAUGAAAUAAAUAAUAUACAUUCUAUCUCUCCACAUACAACAAUGGUACAGUUGUCCGUCUUCCAAGUAUCAGCUCUUUUUUAUACGAUUAUUGUCUACAUUUCAUCUGAAAACACAUUAAUAAACACUAAGGACAAAUUAUGACGAAUUUCGUGUAAAAUUCUCAAGCAUUUUUGAUCGGCCAAAUAAUUUAUCUACUAAAACAAUAAAAAAAAAAAAAUUGAAAUUGUAAAAUGUCUAUAAUUAGCUCAAAAAAAAAAAAACAACAGAAUAUUAUACAAAUUUGAACACAUCUAUAAAAGUAUAAUAUAGUGUAUGCUGUGUAAAUGUUAUUUUUCACCAAAUUCCAAAAAAAUAAUAAAAUUGUUAUUUCUGUAACCUUUUUCAGUUUUACUCAGUUAUUAAGAAAAUAUUAAGUUAAAUAAUGACUUCUUAAUACACUAAUGAGGGAAAAUUUAUGCUACUCUUAAAAUUUGAAAAAAAAAAAAAAAAACAAAUCGAAAUUAAUAAAACUUUUAUUUUUGUAUAUUUGUCUGUUUUUCCUACAAGUUCCUUUGAGAUAUUUCAUAAUUAUUACGAAAAUUGAUGGAAAACAGAUUUUCUAAUGCACCAAAUAGAGACAAAAUUCAACAUAAAAGAUUUCUUGUAAUUUUUUGAUUGGUGUAAAAUGUUUGAUAAGAAAAAUGGUUUAAACAAAAAAAAAAAUAAAACACAUUAUACUAAAACCAAUACAUUCUUUGCUAUGCUCAAAAUCUAAAAUAAAAUGAUAUUUACCAUCUAUAUUGAACAGUUAUAAUCUCUAAAAUAAUUAAAUGUAUACAAAUAAAAUUAGUAAAAAAUAACCUAAUAAUUUUAUAAAUAUGGUAUUAUUUUGUUGAGUGUUUAUUCAUGGAAUAUGUAUACUAUCCCAUUAUUUGCCUGGAAAUGCAAUGAAAUUGCUGUCAAUAUAUUUUUUUAAAUUUUAAUUUGUAUAAAUAUAAUUAUUUUUAUUUAGUAUUGGAAAUAUAAAAUUAGUAAAAUUCUUUUAAAUACCUACUGUUAUUUAUGAUGACUUUUUCUUUAAAUAAUAUUUUUACUUAAUUUAAUCUGGGUAAUUUCACCUCUUUCGAGUUACACAUGAAAAAUAAUAAUAAUUAAAAACCAAUAUUAAUAAAUUAUAAAAAUAUUAUGUAUAUUUUCCAGAUAUUAUGUUUUGCAACUCUAAUACUUUCAUUGUAGAUGGUUCAGCCGUAGUUUCUGAUCAGAAGUCAAGAAGGAAAUGGUUUCCGAUUUCUAAUUUGAAUACGGUAUUGGGCUCGCCGUGCACAGUCACUAUAUCCAAUGUGCACGUUAGAUAAGCAGGCUACGAGUUUCAUUCUGAUAUAUUCUG
This is a non-coding RNA of Cinara cedri, 3789 nucleotides long. NCBI's taxonomy places the organism in Eukaryota, Metazoa, Arthropoda, Insecta, Hemiptera, Aphididae. The record is from the annotation of a GenBank genome assembly.